RNAcentral lists this long non-coding RNA (814 nucleotides) under Homo sapiens (human). RNAcentral's name for it is "HSALNT0122721". Lineage: Eukaryota; Metazoa; Chordata; Mammalia; Primates; Hominidae. The record is from RNAcentral.
CGGCCCGCGGCGAGCGUCCGGGGAAGGAAUCCUCCGGCACCUGGGCCCUGCACCGACACCCGCGGGUGCGGCAGAGGGCUUCUCCCCGUGCUCCUCCACCCCUGGGGGGAGCGCGACCCUCUCUGGGCGGAGUGGGGGAUCCCGGGGCCGGCGCCUCCUGGCGGAGUUGGGGGAGGGGAACCACCUGGAGCCUGGAGGCCGUGCGAGGGCGAGGUGGGCGGACCAGCCCGGGAGGACUGACGUUGGAGGGAGCCUUUCCUGGCCUCUCUGUCUAAAAGCACCCUGCGGAGCACAGUGGCUUACACCUGUAACCUCAGCACUCAGGGAAGCCAAGGCCGGAGGAGCAGUUGAGCUCAGGAGUCGGAGACCAGCCUGUGCAACCUGGGAGAACUUUCUACAAAAUAAAAAAAUUAGCGGAGCAUGGUGGCACACACCUGUAAUCCCAGCUACGGGGCGGGGCGGCGAGUGGGGAGCAGGCUGGACAAUGGAGUGAGAUCCUGUCUUAAAACACAAAAUAAAAGCAGCUCUCACUCAAGCUCCUGACUGCUGCCUUGUCCUAAUUUUCUUCUGAGCAUUUGUCACUGUAUGUGUGUGUGUAUGUGUGUAUGUGUAUAUAUAUAUGUGUGUGUGUAUAUGUGUAUGUGUGUAUAUAUGUGUGUGUUUAUAUUUAAAUGUAAGUUUAUAAAGAAAUGUUUACAUGUAAUGUGUUAUAUUUAUAGACAUGUUUAUAUGAAUGCAUAAAAUUUGUAUUUAUGUAAACUUAUAAAUAUGUAUAUACAUUAUAUAUAAAUGGAAUAAAAAACAUAAAUAACAU